Molecule: long non-coding RNA, 1682 nt
Organism: Brachypodium distachyon (stiff brome)
Lineage: Eukaryota; Viridiplantae; Streptophyta; Magnoliopsida; Poales; Poaceae
Exons: 2
Source: RefSeq, a predicted model, not a curated record
CUCACGGGCAAGCAAGCAAGCUUUUCGGUAUUUGUUCUCUUCUCCGUUGUAUCGUGUAGACUGUUCUUCGUUUGGAUCAAAAUCAAUGUGUGUUGUGUCAAUUCGGUGGCUUGGGUAGGCUAAUCAAUAUCGAGACUUGAACUAUGUUGAGAUGGUAGGGUAGGAUGUGUUUAAUUUUGUUUUGAUUAAAAUUGUAACUGUGUGUUUAUUAUUGAGGGGAUGCCUUGGCAUCGUUACAAUUGAGGAGACACCUUUACAAAUAGUUGUGUCCCAGUAAUGUUUUGUACUGUACAAUCUUAACCGCUAAUGCAUGAUUAAUUAACAUAGUUCUUCCUCCAUCAGAUUGUUUCCCAUAUAGUUCUAUAAGAGAAAGAAUAUUUUAGAAUAAAACUUAUUCAUAUUACUCAGUGUAAAUACAUAUAAAGUAUUUAUAUUACAAUAUUAUGUCUAAAUUACAUAAUGUAUCACAUAUUAUGUCUGAAUCACACAAUACAAUACAAUAUUAUGUCUGAAUUACAUAAUACUCCGAAGGACUUUGUUCUACUUAAUGUCUGAUGAAGAGAAGAAGGAAAGGUAAGAAUGGCGGGACAUCUCGCUCAACCCGCUCAAGCCUUCGUAAGGUCCAUCCUCAAGGAAGCCCAUACCGCAACUUACCGUCGCCAUCACGUCUUCAACAUUCGUCGCCGGGAGUUGUUGCUGCCAUUCAUCUUCGUCGACAUGUUAUUGCCGUUCGUCGCCGUUGGCUUGCUGCUCCCAGCGUUGGCCUCCGUCAGAGUCGGGCUCGCCGUCAUCAUCAGCGCCGUGCAACUCUGCGUCCAGAAAUCAUCGACGGACCACCGCCACCGCCACCAACGCCUCCGCGUCUGCCAUCGCCGGUGCCGACAUCUGAAGAUGAUGUUCCUCCAGGAUACGGUCUAGUGGCGUCGGCACAAACUCCAAACCCGACGCCUCCUGAACUGGUUCGCCUCAGCGAUGGCGACGUAACGCCCCGAUCUAUACGUGGGCGGGUGGAACCCGGCUGCACUCAACUUCAACGUCGGGAACCCCUCCGCGGUGCCCCCAGGCCGCAACCUCGUGGCGCCCUCUAGCGCGGGAGGGUCAGCCACCCCUUGAAGACAGCAGCGGUAGAGACAAGCGAUGUCGGCGUGGACUGGAGGCGGCGGCGGUUGGGAAAACCUACCCGACCACACGCACGAAGACUCCAGUUUUGAUCGAUCUCCUCCGCAUGGGCCUGCUGGGCCAAAAGGACGACUAUGCCUCCAUCAAGGAAACGUCGAUUUGCAGAUCUUGUCAAGAGUUCAGAGGAGUAGUUAACAAAUAGCCGUGAAGGAAAACAAGGUAUGACGUCGGCAAGCUCUGGUUCAAAAGCAACAUUUGGCGAAAGCACUGGGUGGCUGGAUUGAGAGCUGCAUCUGUCACUUCUGGUAGUUCCAUAAAACCUCACCGAUUCUUCUGGUCAAUUAAGUGACUGUUUUUUCUUCAGGCGUAUCUGUUCUCAGGAUCUCCUGCUGGCCUACUGUUGAUCGACAGUGGAUAUUGUAUUUACAUUGUUGUUCAUAAUAGACAUAGCAACACCCAGAUAUUCAAUCAACUAUGUAUUAGAAUUACCAGAAUACAAUAGUCAGAAAGGAAUGUAUUUAGAGCACUGAGGUGUUAUUUGUGUGAUGCAUCAGUUCCUUUUA